UACAGAGGGUGCGAGCGUUGUCCGGAAUCACUGGGCGUAAAGGGCGCGUAGGUGGCGCUGCAAGUCGGUGGUGAAAGCUCGACGCUUAACGUCGAGUCGGCCAUCGAAACUGCAGGGCUCGAGCACUGUAGGGGCAGAUGGAAUUCCCGGUGUAGCGGUGAAAUGCGCAGAGAUCGGGAGGAACACCCGUAGCGAAGGCGGCACUCUGGGCCGGUACUGACGCUGAGGAGCGAAAGCGUGGGGAGCAAACAGG
RNAcentral lists this ribosomal RNA (253 nucleotides) under uncultured bacterium. Its description in RNAcentral is "partial 16S ribosomal RNA". It matches the Rfam family "Bacterial small subunit ribosomal RNA", at positions 524 to 776 of the family's 1533-position model. The record is from RNAcentral.